Molecule: RNA transcript, 1262 nt
Organism: Pyrus x bretschneideri (Chinese white pear)
Lineage: Eukaryota; Viridiplantae; Streptophyta; Magnoliopsida; Rosales; Rosaceae
Gene name: leucine--tRNA ligase-like
Exons: 4
Source: RefSeq, a predicted model, not a curated record
AAGACCCCUUCACUUAAGGGCCUCUAGUAUAGACAUAUACAUGUCUCUAUAUUUUUGCAAAUAUAGGGACUAGUUGUGAGGCCUACUCCCCAACAAAUCCAAGUUGUCUAUUUUUAAAUCUCCAUUCAUGGAUUAUCCUUACAAAAAAUCAAAUCGGUCCGAAACCAUUUAGUCAUUUGAUUCUCAUGAUGAAAUUCAAUGUUUUUAGAACAUAGUGUUCGUAUCAAAUUUUUAACUCAAUUGGCUACCUAAAACAUUCAUUUCCUAAUUUAACUAAUAUUUCAAGAAUGAUUUAUGAAAUACAAUUUAAAAAAUAAACAAUUUAGAUCGUUGAAGGCCAACAUGAAUGAGCCCCACACCUAUCCUCAUUUAAAAAAAAAAAAAUUGAAGAUCCCUAUAGAUUUCAUGUUUAUCCCCAUCAUGGGCUUUAAUUUCAGCUUCCAAGGAACUAUUGAUUGUGUUAAUCCAAUUUUUCCAUUGUUCUGUCGGCUUUACCGUACGAAUUUGAAAUAGCGCCGUAAUCGUAAACUCGAUGGCCGAGAAAGCCAAUGGAGUGGUGGAGCAAAAACCGAAGCAGCAACCGGUGAUGAGGCCCAAUCCUUUCCACGAAAUCAACCUCAAAUGGCAGCGUCAUUGGGAGGAUAUCAGACUUUUUCGAACCCCCGAUGAAAUUGAUACCUCCAAGCCCAAAUACUAUCUUUUUGAUAUGUUCCCUUAUCCUAGAAUUACAAACAAUGAUGGGGCCUUUAGAGAGUUGCUGCAGAAUUACACAUAUGAUAUGUGUAAUGUACUUUGUUGGUCAUAUGAGAAAGGAUAGCCUGGCUCCCGACGAUAACAGACUGGCACCUGGCAUGUCUUACGGAAAUGGAGCACAAACGAGCAUCUGAUGUAGUGAUGUGCCUCCUGGUUUUGGUUGAUGAGAUUUCAUGCAUUUCAGUUUUCACAGUUACUCAAGAGUUGUUUCCUAUAAUGUAAAGGUACACCUUGUGGACGAAAGACCGACAACAAUCUUUGAUGCAGUGGAUACCUAAUUCUGCUGUGAUCAUCUGGAGUGAGAAAAACGUGAUCGUUGUUUAUUAGCCAACUAGACAAAAUAAAAUAUCGACAUUGCUGGGCCACUGAAACCCUAUUCCACGUCACAUAUGGUGUGACAUCCCACAUCGUGCAGGGGAGUGAUCCUUAUAUGUAAAUUCUCAUCCCUACCUAGCACAAGGCUUUUUGGGAGCUCACUGGCUUCAGGUUCCAUGGGAACUCUGAAGUUA